Molecule: ribosomal RNA, 465 nt
Filed under: uncultured bacterium
Lineage: Bacteria
Description: partial 16S ribosomal RNA
Rfam family: Bacterial small subunit ribosomal RNA
Source: RNAcentral
CUACGGGGUGCAGCAGUGGGGAAUAUUGGACAAUGGGGGAAACCCUGAUCCAGCAAUGCCGCGUGUGUGAAGAAGGCCUGCGGGUUGUAAAGCACUUUCGGUUGGGAGGACUGCUUCUAGCACUAAUAUUGUUGGAAGUUGACGUUACCUUCAGAAGAAGCACCGGCUAACUCCGUGCCAGCAGCCGCGGUAAUACGGAGGGUGCAUGCGUUAAUCGGAAUUACUGGGCGUAAAGCGCGCGUAGGCGGCUAGAUCAGUCGGGUGUGAAAGCCCCGGGCUUAACCUGGGAACUGCAUCCGAUACUGUCUAGCUUGAGUACAGGAGAGGAGAGUGGAAUUCCACAUGUAGCGGUGAAAUGCGUAGAUAUGUGGAGGAACACCAAUGGCGAAGGCAGCUCUCUGGCCUGAUACUGACGCUGAGGUGCGAAAGCGUGGGGAGCAGACAGGAUUAGAUACCCUGGUAGUC